UGAGGAAUAUUGGUCAAUGGGCGCAAGCCUGAACCAGCCAUGCCGCGUGAAGGAUGAAGGCCUUCUGGGUUGUAAACUUCUUUUAUUGGGGAAGAAAAUUAUGGUUUCUACUAUAACCGACGGUACCCAAGGAAUAAGCACCGGCUAACUCCGUGCCAGCAGCCGCGGUAAUACGGAGGGUGCAAGCGUUAUCCGGAUUCACUGGGUUUAAAGGGUGUGUAGGCGGAUUAUUAAGUCAGUGGUGAAAUCUCCGGGCUCAACCCGGAAACUGCCAUUGAUACUAUUAGUCUUGAAUUCUGUUGAGGUGGGCGGAAUAUGUCAUGUAGCGGUGAAAUGCUUAGAUAUGACAUAGAACACCGAUUGCGAAGGCAGCUCACUAAGCAGAUAUUGACGCUGAGGCACGAAAGCGUGGGGAUCAAACA
Molecule: ribosomal RNA, 422 nt
Filed under: uncultured Edaphobaculum sp.
Lineage: Bacteria; Pseudomonadati; Bacteroidota; Chitinophagia; Chitinophagales; Chitinophagaceae
Description: bacterial SSU rRNA
Rfam family: Bacterial small subunit ribosomal RNA
Source: RNAcentral